Molecule: ribosomal RNA, 479 nt
Filed under: uncultured bacterium
Lineage: Bacteria
Description: partial 16S ribosomal RNA
Rfam family: Bacterial small subunit ribosomal RNA
Source: RNAcentral
GACGAACGCUGGCGGCGUGCUUAACACAUGCAAGUCGAACGGUAAGGCCCUUCGGGGUACACGAGUGGCGAACGGGUGAGUAACACGUGGGUGAUCUGCCCUGCACUUCGGGAUAAGCCUGGGAAACUGGGUCUAAUACCGGAUAGGACCACUGCCUGCAUGGGUGGUGGUGGAAAGCUUUUGCGGUGUGGGAUGGGCCCGCGGCCUAUCGGCUUGUUGGUGGGGUGAUGGCCUACCAAGGCGACGACGGGUAGCCGGCCUGAGAGGGUGACCGGCGACACUGGGACUGAGAUACGGCCCAGACUCCUACGGGAGGCAGCAGUGGGGAAUAUUGCACAAUGGGCGCAAGCCUGAUGCAGCGACGCCGCGUGAGGGAUGACGGCCUUCGGGUUGUAAACCUCUUUCAGCACCGACGAAGCGCAAGUGACGGUAGGUGCAGAAGAAGGACCGGCCAACUACGUGCCAGCCGCCGCCAGUAA